CUCGGGAUCAUCUAGCGGAAGGAUGCCGGUCUACGAAACCGGAAACGAUGGUUCAAAUCCAUCUCCCGAGGCCA
This 74-nucleotide transfer RNA is filed under the name Planctomycetota bacterium. RNAcentral's name for it is "tRNA-Arg". It matches the Rfam family "tRNA". From Rfam's summary of the family: Transfer RNA (tRNA) molecules are approximately 80 nucleotides in length. Their secondary structure includes four short double-helical elements and three loops (D, anti-codon, and T loops). The record is from RNAcentral. Lineage: Bacteria; Pseudomonadati; Planctomycetota.